RNAcentral lists this ribosomal RNA (460 nucleotides) under uncultured bacterium. RNAcentral describes it as "partial 16S ribosomal RNA". It matches the Rfam family "Bacterial small subunit ribosomal RNA", at positions 338 to 795 of the family's 1533-position model. The record is from RNAcentral.
CCUACGGGAGGCAGCAGUGAGGAAUAUUGGUCAAUGGGCGGGAGCCUGAACCAGCCAAGUCGCGUGAGGGAAGACGGUCCUAUGGAUUGUAAACCUCUUUAGGCGGGGAGCAAUGCCGGGCACGCGUGCCCGGAGGGAGAGUACCCGCAGAAUAAGCAUCGGCUAACUCCGUGCCAGCAGCCGCGGUAAUACGGAGGAUGCGAGCGUUAUCCGGAGUUAUUGGGUUUAAAGGUUGCGUAGGCGGAUUUUUAAGUCAGCGGUAAAAUGUCCGGGCUCAACCCGGGCCGGCCGUUGAAACUGGGGAUCUUGAGUGGGCGAGAGGUAUGCGGAAUGCGUGGUGUAGCGGUGAAAUGCAUAGAUAUCACGCAGAACUCCGAUUGCGAAGGCGACAUACCGGCGCCCGACUGACGCUGAGGCACGAAAGCGUGGGGAUCGAACAGGAUUAGAUACCCCAGUAGUC